This 505-nucleotide unclassified non-coding RNA is filed under the name Hevea brasiliensis (rubber tree). Lineage: Eukaryota; Viridiplantae; Streptophyta; Magnoliopsida; Malpighiales; Euphorbiaceae. The record is from RNAcentral.
AUAAAAGUUUUAAGCCUUGGACUCUUAAAUCAGGAAGAGACGUUGAAUAGUAAUGGUGAACUUUACCUAAAAAGGCAUCCUCAGUUGAAAGUGAAGGUGGUUGAUGGAAGUAGCCUAGCUGUGGCCGUGGUUCUCAACUCCAUUCCUAAAGGAACUUCUCAAGUUGUCCUUCGAGGUCGUUUGUCCAAAGUUGCUUACUCCAUUGCCCUUGCCUUGUGCCAAAGAGGAAUUCAGGUUGCCACGUUAGACGAAGAAGACUACAAGAGACUUAAUGCAAAGCUUACUCAUGAAGCUGCAACUAACUUGGUCCUGUCGAAAUCUUUUGUUUCAAAGACAUGGCUAGUAGGGGACGGAUUGAGUGAAGAUGAACAAUUGAAAGCGCCAAAAGGAACAUUAUUCAUUCCUUAUUCACAAUUCCCACCAAGAAAAUCUCGCAAGGAUUGCUUCUACUUCAACACACCAGCUAUGAUUGCUCCUAAACAUCUUGAAAAUGUGGACUCUUGUG